This 105-nucleotide microRNA precursor is filed under the name Marmota monax (woodchuck). The record is from RNAcentral. Lineage: Eukaryota; Metazoa; Chordata; Mammalia; Rodentia; Sciuridae.
AUGCAGAUCACCUGGGGAUCUUGUGAAAAUGCAGAUUUUCAUUCAGCUGGUCUGAAGAGGUGCCUGAGAAUCUGUCCUUCUAGCAAGCUGCCAGGUAGGCUUUUG